This 834-nucleotide ribosomal RNA is filed under the name Staphylococcus aureus. RNAcentral's name for it is "bacterial SSU rRNA". It matches the Rfam family "Bacterial small subunit ribosomal RNA", at positions 77 to 897 of the family's 1533-position model. Lineage: Bacteria; Bacillati; Bacillota; Bacilli; Caryophanales; Staphylococcaceae. The record is from RNAcentral.
CUUGCUUGUCUGAUGUUAGCGGCGGACGGGUGAGUAACACGUGGAUAACCUACCUAUAAGACUGGGAUAACUUCGGGAAACCGGAGCUAAUACCGGAUAAUAUUUUGAACCGCAUGGUUCAAAAGUGAAAGACGGUCUUGCUGUCACUUAUAGAUGGAUCCGCGCUGCAUUAGCUAGUUGGUAAGGUAACGGCUUACCAAGGCAACGAUGCAUAGCCGACCUGAGAGGGUGAUCGGCCACACUGGAACUGAGACACGGUCCAGACUCCUACGGGAGGCAGCAGUAGGGAAUCUUCCGCAAUGGGCGAAAGCCUGACGGAGCAACGCCGCGUGAGUGAUGAAGGUCUUCGGAUCGUAAAACUCUGUUAUUAGGGAAGAACAUAUGUGUAAGUAACUGUGCACAUCUUGACGGUACCUAAUCAGAAAGCCACGGCUAACUACGUGCCAGCAGCCGCGGUAAUACGUAGGUGGCAAGCGUUAUCCGGAAUUAUUGGGCGUAAAGCGCGCGUAGGCGGUUUUUUAAGUCUGAUGUGAAAGCCCACGGCUCAACCGUGGAGGGUCAUUGGAAACUGGAAAACUUGAGUGCAGAAGAGGAAAGUGGAAUUCCAUGUGUAGCGGUGAAAUGCGCAGAGAUAUGGAGGAACACCAGUGGCGAAGGCGACUUUCUGGUCUGUAACUGACGCUGAUGUGCGAAAGCGUGGGGAUCAAACAGGAUUAGAUACCCUGGUAGUCCACGCCGUAAACGAUGAGUGCUAAGUGUUAGGGGGUUUCCGCCCCUUAGUGCUGCAGCUAACGCAUUAAGCACUCCGCCUGGGGAGUACGACCGCAAGGUUGA